UGCACCUCCAUCUUCCCAGAGUCUCGUGGGAAACAGAUUUCAAACAACAACAGACAGCAAGACUGAGAAACUACGAAAGAUCAGCCUGGCAGUAUCCUCAGUGCUAAAGCAGCGCUGGGCGUAGUAAGUGCUCAGUGAAGAUCUGUUGAAUGAGUGAAUGAAGGAAGGGAGGAAGGAAUGAUGGUGGGUAAAUCGGCGAGUGUGUGGCCUACACAGGACAUUAGCUUGAGCACCAGAGAGCAGACCAAGGCAGGUCCUUGGUUCCUGUGCCGACCUGCAUUGCGGAGGACUGCGGGGUCUUGGUAGAUGAAGCCUGGCCUGGGUCUUUCAGGGCCCUCUGGCUGGGGCCAGGAGGCACAGCUGCAGUGGACACUUUCAAACUCAUCGUGCCUGGCCUUGGCACUCGGUGGGCUCAUUUCUGGUCAUAAUGACACCUUUCUAAACAUAGCUACACAAAAUUAAAAUGUCACAGUGCAAAUGCUGCAGCUGUGUGGUACUAGAAAGAACACUAGGUCUUGAGUCAGAAGAGAUGGACUCAAAUCCCAAAUAUCAAGCCAUCUCUCUCCUGGGUGUGACCUUGCACUUCUCUGAGCUUCAGUUUCUUCAUCUGCAAGAUGGGAAUGGUACCAGUAGCUGUGUCACAGACUGUUGUGAAGGCCGAGGAAUUAAGCACGGCGAGAGAUUUUUGGAAGCUGCAAAGCAUCACACAUUGGACAUGACUUUUACACAUAAAUAUGUAAAAAUGGUCUCCUGACUGCGUCCUUGGCUUCCUGGCCUGCCACAUGGAAUGAGGGCAGGGCCUCCCUCUCAGCACAGACUGGUCUCCUCCACCAGCCCAGCCUCCCCUUGUCACAGUGAGAAGGAGCCAUUGACCCACUCAGAAGCCACUCACUUCUCUCUUACAUGGGGAAAUCAGCAAACCACAACCAUUUAUGAAUCCUGCAUGUUCCCCUGGUCUUGUCCAACUGUAUCUGCUACCAUUCCUGAGUGGAAGUUAAAAAAAAAAAAAAAAAAAGGCAGAGCAAGUUGAAGAUGGGAAAGAGGUGACCUAAGGUGACAAAGAGUCAAUGUAGAAGGCAGAUAUGUCUCAUCCUCGCAGUGACUAAGAUUAAUGGGCAUGGAGUGUCAGGAGCCCUGCCUUAGGAAGAACUCUGAGACUGGCUCCAGAAUUCUGUAAAUCCAAUCAAGAGUGUUGCAAUCAGUUAGCAAUGUCUGCCUCAGGCAAGGGAGAAGAAACUAUGGUCUGUAUGUCAUAUCUAAUAUUCUCCCUUAUAUCUAAGGUACCCUCUGCUGUGAGACAUGCAAUCAACCCGAUGAAGCUUUUUAGGAAAAAGUCUAUUGUUACAUCAAGUUUAACGUAAAGCUGCCUCCUUACAUAUUUUAAGGUCAGCCUAAAGGUUUCUCUGCACAUCGUGAACUAUAGCAAGUAGAGAUGUAAACAGACUGUAGCCUACACUUGUGCCGAUCAAUGAGUUUUGGCCAAUCAAAUGUGGCCAACUGUUUGAACCAUGUUCAAACAGGGCAAAUGCUGAGCUAUAACCAACCCAGCUGUUUCUGUCCCUCACUUCUGUUCUCUGUGCAUCACUUUCCUUUUUCUGUCCAUAAAUCUUUUUCCACCACGUGGCUGCGCUGGAGUCUCUGAGUCUACUCUGGCUCAGGAGGCUGCCCAAUUCAAAAUCAUUCAUUGCUCAAUUAAACUCUUUCAAAUUUAAUUCUGCUGAAGUUUUUCUUUUAUCACUCUAUUAAUGCUAGAUGUUGACUAUUGAAUGGAUCCAAGUUUCAGGAACUUACAAAAUGUGUGUGUGUUUGAAAGAAGGAAAUCAUUACUUGCUAUCCCUUCUCUAUCAAAAUCUACUUGAGCUUUUCAACUAAAAAUUCAAUGCGUAUUCUUUGGGGUAUAAAUAAAUGUGCUGAAUCUACCUGGGCUUUUCCCACUCUGUGGCUUCUUGUUUCUAUGUGUGAUGCGAAAAGGAAGCUGUGGAAAUGGGGAGGAGAUUCUUCCAGGUGUUGGGAAGGCUUCCAAUGCCCAGCAUGUAGUAGGUGCUCAGCAAAUGUUUGUUGAAUGAAUUUUCAAUGAUGACCUCAGUUUCUGCAUAACUUUUCAUGAUUCAUAAAUGCUGUUACCUUAGCUAAGUUUAAAUGUAGUAUUUUAUCUCCUGUCAUAUAUAUUUUUCUCUCUUUUUCUGUGAGUAGACGCCAUGAUAAUCAAUCGGGAUAACCCACGAGGACGUUGUUUCAUUCUUUCUGAGUGAGGGGAUGGGGCUGAUAGAGGAAGCCGGGGAGGGGUUUGCCUGCUGAUUUCUUCCUGCUUUUGUGUUUGUGUUUGCCGUCUGCCUGUCCCUCACAUUUCCCUCAGUGUGUUCCUAUCCUUGGAUCCCUAAUCCUACAGCCCAGGACUUUCUACAACGGUACUACUGACAUUUUGGAUGGGAUAAUUCUUUGCUGUGGGGGGACUCUCCUGUGUGCUGUGACAUUUAGCAAUAUCCCUGGCCUCUACCUACUGGAUACCAGAGGCACCCCCCACCCCCAGCCGUGACAACUAAAAAUGUCUCAAGACACACCACCCAGGUGAGAACCACUGCUUAGCCUCCCCGGGGAACAUGGCUGGUUCCUUCUUUCUGAACAGUUUCAGAAGGAACAUCAAGUCUGCAACAAGUCUUCUGACUUCAUGGUCCACACCAGUGUCAGGCCCACCGUCCUAUCAACCCUCCAGGCUCAUGUCUCCAAGGAGCUCUCUGAUCAUUCCCUGGUGUCUCUCUCGUUUGCUGUCUGCCCCUCUCCCCUGGGCUAUGAGCGCCACAGGAGUUUUUUCUAUUUUGAUUAUCUCUCUAUCCCUGGGGCCCAGAAGUCCCUGGCACUCAAUAGGUUCUCCAGUGGAUAAAGGUGAGGACGAGGUGACUGGGGGAGCCUCCCUGUGGAGUGACGUCUCCAUGCCAUGAAAUUGCCAGCCCUGGGAAGUCAUGAGGAAGAACACUCCAGGCAGAGGGCACAGUCACCGCACAGCUCUCAGGCAGGAACAGGUUUGCCUUGUGGAAGGCUGCUGGGGAGGAGAGGGGAGCGGGAUUGGAGAAGGGUGCUCCAAGAGCCAGAAAAGCUAGUCAGGAGGCCACAGUGAGGGGUGCAAACUCAGUUCCAGGAGUGACAACAAGCCCUCUGGAAACCUCCCAGAUGUCCCAAGGUCCACCCCUGGCCCACUCUCACUCUCCUCUCUCCUUGUCGCCCAGCCUCACUCUGGGAAGGCUGGGGAGGAUUCCUAAAUCUGGUCUGAACUCCUGAGGCUGAAGCCAGAGCUGGUGUGGCCCCCAAGUCAUAUCUCAGGGUGGGAGAGAGUCCUUCCAUCAAGGAGGCAACGCUAUGAGGGCAGCUCAGUGCUCAGCCCACCCCUCUAACCCUCAUGGGCGGGCCCUCAAUCAGAAACCACAAAUUCCAGGCUCAGUCAGGGAAGGCCUGGAUCCUCCACUUCCGGCUCCUCCCGGAAGUCAGCUUAAAGAAAUGAUGCGGAGGAAUGAUCACUGAAGAGACUCGUCAUUCCUGGUCAAACCAUGCUGGAGGUCAGGGGUUUGUUAACUCAGCCUUGUCACAGGGGCCUUCCCUUCCACCUCAAUGCUACGACAGAGCUGGUGUUGAAGGUCUUUGACGAAAAAGCUACAUUUCUGCAUUUAAAAUGGAGAAGAUCAGGCCACUCAGUAUCUCCGGUGUAAGAAGACAUUUGGCAAUAGUAACAGCUAAUUUUUUUUAAUACUUACCGUAACUCAUUUUACCCAUUUCCUGCCUAGAAAAAAAAAAAGUGCAGCUCACUGCCAGCACUCAUUUCUUGGGGCAAACAGGAAAUAAGUUAAUCUUAACAACAACCCUGUAAGGUGCAUAGUUUUAUUAUCAUCCCCAUUUUACAGAUGGGGAAACUGAGGCAGUGAAGUUUAGUAAUUUUCCCAGAUUCACUAAAAUUUCUAAGAUAUGUUUAACAAAGAAAUCCACCCUUUAACUCUUAAAUAAUAUCCUCUUUUUAAAAUUAAUGCUAGAAUAUGGUGCAAUAUCUUUUUAAUUGAGUGUAUCUUUUGCCCCAGCAAUUCUACCACUAGGAACUGAGCCUAAGGAGGUAUAAAUAUUUAGUUAGAAGGAUGCAGUAUUAUUUAGUAUGUGGAACUCAAUGAGAAUCUCCACUAAGAGGGGUUAUUUAAAUAAACUGUGAUGCCUCCAUAUAAAUGUAGCUGUUCAAAAUGACAUCUGUUUGUAUGUACCAACAUAAAAAGACAUCUAAAUCAUAUAUUUUAACAGAAAAGUCCAGAAUAAUCACAUUUUUGUAAGCAGUCAUUUUGUCUGAGGACUGGGAUUUCUAUUGACUUUUAAUUUCUUAUUUUCACGUGUCUAUAGUCUCUAAUUUUUCUACAAUGAACAUGUACUACAUUUAUAAUAAGAAAGAAACUCAAUAAAAGUUAUUGAGUAAAAGAAUAAGCAGCCAGAAAUCUGUCUCUUCUGGGGAAUUAGUGAGCCUCUUCCUCCCUGAGAGUAGACGCUAUGGCUGCUUUGCUGGAACCUUCCAUUUGUCCCAAAUGCUCCACUCUCUGCCAAUGGGAGACGGGGUCUAUAUUCACCUGGUCCCUUCUGCGUGAGGCCACCUUGGCAGAAGUCACUGCCCCUCCCAAGGCAUCUGACCCUGCAAAACCCUCUUGUCGUCUGGGUUCUGGUAAACUCCCCAUUCCCUGUUUUUUUUGUGGGUAUACAGAUAGUAAAAGCUCUGCUGCCCUGGCCCUG
This 4752-nucleotide long non-coding RNA is filed under the name Homo sapiens (human). RNAcentral describes it as "HSALNT0330894". Lineage: Eukaryota; Metazoa; Chordata; Mammalia; Primates; Hominidae. The record is from RNAcentral.